RNAcentral lists this ribosomal RNA (756 nucleotides) under Triticum aestivum (bread wheat). Its description in RNAcentral is "partial small subunit ribosomal RNA". Lineage: Eukaryota; Viridiplantae; Streptophyta; Magnoliopsida; Poales; Poaceae. The record is from RNAcentral.
AUGUCCUUGUUUAGACACUUUCAUCGAGGGGCGUUGGAUGUUCAAAGAUUGAACUACGGGAUCAUCACUUUGCUCCCGAAGCUCUCUGGAGCUGACAAAAUCCAACAGUUCAGACCUAUUUGUCUGCUUCGUUGCCCUUAUAAUCUCAUCACAAAAGUCCUAGAUCGCCGAGUCUCGGUUUAUGCUGACAAGCUAAUUAGCCCAGUACAGAAUGCUUUUGUCAAAGGUAGAAACAUUAUGGACAGGGUGCUUUCACUCCAUGAAAUCCUUAAUUACACUCGUGUGAAGAAAAAGGUUGGGGUGGUGUUGAAACUGGAUUUUGAAAAAGCGUAUGAUAAGGUUAACUGGGAGUUCCUAUUUGAAUGCCACAAGUUGCGGGGAUUCAAUGAUACCUGGUGUGGAUGGAUUAAUCAGAUCCUUCGAAAUGGCACGAUUAGCAUCAAGUUAAAUAACAGUGUGGGGCCGUACUUCCAAAGUGCGAAAGGGGUGCGGCAAGGCGACCCUCACUCCCCAUUCUUGUUUAACUUAGCUGCCGAAUGCCUCACGAAGAUGAUUAAAAAUGCUCUGCGUAAUAAGUUGCUGGUUGGCUUAGCUGCGGAUCUGAUCCCUGAUGGAGUUGCGGUACUUCAGUACGAAGAUGACACAAUUAUCUGCCUUGAACAUGACAUCGAUAAAGCAGUCAACCUGAAGUUGCUGCUGUAUAUGUUCGAAAUGAUGUCCGGGUUGAAAGUUAAUUUUCAAAAAGUGAAAUUCUGA